ACGGAAGGCAGCAGUGGGGAAUAUUGGGCAAUGGGCGAAAGCCUGACCCAGCAACGCCGCGUGAAGGAAGAAGGUCUUCGGAUUGUAAACUUCUUCUAUGUGGGACGAAGAAAGUGACGGUACCACAUGAAUAAGCCACGGCUAACUACGUGCCAGCAGCCGCGGUAAUACGUAGGUGGCAAGCGUUAUCCGGAUUUACUGGGUGUAAAGGGCGCGUAGGCGGGAUGGCAAGUCAGAUGUGAAAUCUAUGGGCUCAACCCAUAAACUGCAUUUGAAACUGUCAUUCUUGAGUGCUGGAGAGGUAGACGGAAUUCCUUGUGUAGCGGUGAAAUGCGUAGAUAUAAGGAAGAACACCAGUGGCGAAGGCGGUCUACUGGACAGUAACUGACGCUGAGGCGCGAAAGCGUGGGGAGCAAACAGGAUUAGAUACCCUGGUA
This is a ribosomal RNA of 437 nucleotides. It matches the Rfam family "Bacterial small subunit ribosomal RNA", at positions 341 to 792 of the family's 1533-position model.